This 74-nucleotide transfer RNA is filed under the name Staurodesmus triangularis. RNAcentral's name for it is "tRNA-Val". It matches the Rfam family "tRNA". From Rfam's summary of the family: Transfer RNA (tRNA) molecules are approximately 80 nucleotides in length. Their secondary structure includes four short double-helical elements and three loops (D, anti-codon, and T loops). Lineage: Eukaryota; Viridiplantae; Streptophyta; Zygnematophyceae; Desmidiales; Desmidiaceae. The record is from RNAcentral.
UGGGGCUAUAGUUCAGUGGUAGAACGUUUCGUUUACACCGAAAAAGUCUACGGUUCGAUCCCGUAUGGCCCCAA